CCUACGGGAGGCAGCAGUGAGGAAUAUUUGUCAAUGGCCGUAAGGCUGAACCAGCCAAGUCGCGUGAAGGAAGAAGGCUCUAUGGUUUGUAAACUUCUUUUAUAGGGGAAUAAAGGUAUCCACGUGCGGAUUUUUGCAUGUACCCUUUGAAUAAGCACCGGCUAACUCUGCGUAAGCCGCUGCGGUAAUCCGGAGGAUCUGAGUGUUAUCCGGAUCUAUGGGGUUUAAAGGGGGCGUAGAUGGGUUGUUAAGGCAGUUGUAAAAGUUUGCGGCUCAACCGUAAAAUUGCAAUUGAUACUGGCAGGCUUGAGUACAGUUGAGGUAGGCGGAAUUCGUGGUGUAGCGGUGAAAUGCUUAGAUAUCACGAAGAACUCCGAUUGCGAAGGCAGCUUACUAAGCUGCCACUGACAUUGAUGCUCGAAAGUGUAGGUAUCAAACAGGAUUAGAUACCCUGGUAGUC
RNAcentral lists this ribosomal RNA (460 nucleotides) under uncultured bacterium. Its description in RNAcentral is "partial 16S ribosomal RNA". It matches the Rfam family "Bacterial small subunit ribosomal RNA", at positions 338 to 795 of the family's 1533-position model. The record is from RNAcentral.